UAAACAAUCGAUGGAUUUGGCGU
RNAcentral lists this small nuclear RNA (23 nucleotides) under Arabidopsis thaliana (thale cress). RNAcentral's name for it is "snRNA_07151". The record is from RNAcentral. Lineage: Eukaryota; Viridiplantae; Streptophyta; Magnoliopsida; Brassicales; Brassicaceae.